This 252-nucleotide ribosomal RNA is filed under the name uncultured prokaryote. Its description in RNAcentral is "partial 16S ribosomal RNA". It matches the Rfam family "Bacterial small subunit ribosomal RNA", at positions 524 to 775 of the family's 1533-position model. The record is from RNAcentral.
UACGUAGGGAGCAAGCGUUGUCCGGAAUCAUUGGGCGUAAAGCGCGCGUAGGCGGCCCGAUAAGUCCGCUGUGAAAGUCAACGGCUCAACUGUUGGAUGCCGGUGGAUACUGUCGGGCUAGAGUACGGAAGAGGCAAGUGGAAUUCCUGGUGUAGCGGUGGAAUGCGCAGAUAUCAGGAGGAACACCUAUAGCGAAGGCAGCUUGCUGGGACGUUACUGACGCUAGGGCGCGAAAGCGUGGGGAGCGAACAG